Long non-coding RNA from Sander lucioperca (pikeperch), 646 nucleotides. RefSeq lists it as uncharacterized. The transcript is spliced from 3 exons. NCBI's taxonomy places the organism in Eukaryota, Metazoa, Chordata, Actinopteri, Perciformes, Percidae. The record is from RefSeq and is a predicted model, not a curated record.
UGGGCGGAGCUCCACAGAGGUGACAGGUGAAGUUGUGUACCCUAAUUAAUCACUGAUUUGAUGCACAACCCCCAGCACAGUCACGUCAUGUCACAACAGGUGUAAUAAUAUGGGUCUGGCUAACAUGCUGAAUGCUUUAAUGCUCAUGAAGGAGCCUCCAGUAGUGAUGUAUGAGUUCACUGAGGAACUUUUACCUUCAGUAAGGAGAGCGCAGUGGGACAGAGAGGCCGAGUGGACUGCUUCCAGUGGCACAGAGAGGUCUGGAGCUGGUUCUAACUUAUGGAUUGAGACUGGAUGAGAAGUUGAGCAAAAUGUGGAGGACUUUGUGGUGCCAGAUUGACCUUCAGACUGGGCUCUUCCUGCAGCAGGAGGUGGAGUCUGGACUGACUUUGUAGCUUCCGAUAGAGAUUGAGUCUUCCAUGACUGGACUGGAAUGUAUGACGGGGCUGAGACACAUAUUUCAGCCCCUCGGGCUACUGAUGUCUGAACAAUUACAGAGCAUGUUGUUUAUGCUUCAUACUUGUAAAUGCAUAUCAUGGGGUUGCAUCUGCCCAAAGGCUUUUGUCACAUAUCUUACAUCUUAUGCCUCUGUUUCUCCAUGUCUUAAUUCAAUCUCCACUGAAAAGUUCAUAGAGUUCAUAGCUUC